ACAAAUGUAUUUUUUGGUGGGAAAAUGUUGGCCUAUAAUUAGAAGGUGUUUGUGCAAUGGUUAUUUCGCUCUUUAUAGCUAAAUAGUCUGUAAUGCUUUGCAGUGUGGUUGGUUCAUAUACCGACUUUUGAGGAUUAUACACUCGAAUUUGUUUAUCUUAAGGGUGAUAUAUUAUACAAAAUUUCUUCUUUAUGUUUUGGAAGAGCUCCGAAAUAUAAUUUUAGGUAGUGUUUGGUUCGGGAACAAGGGGGAGAAUAAGCCCUUAUUCCCCCCUUUGUUCCCAAACGCAGCGUUUGGUACCCGAGAACAGUAGUUUCUGGGUUUAUGGAACUAGCCGGUAUAAGGCUGGAACUGUUGUUCCACCUUUUUCCUGAAACAAGCUUGUUCCCGAAUGAGAACAAGAUUAAUUAAAGUCUAAAUUUAAAUUUUAAUGAUAAUAAAUUAUUAAUUAAUCUAAUUAAUAUAUGUAAAUCAUUAUCCAUUGCUUAAAUAAUAAAAUAAAUAAAUAAAUAAAUAAUUAUAAUUAAUUAUUUAUAAUUAGAUAAUAAUAAUUAUUAAUUUAAUAAUUAUUAUUUAUUAAUAAUUAUUAAUUAAAUAAUAAUUAUUAAUAAUUAUUAUUCUUAAGAAAUAGAUAAUCGAUAUUAUUAUUAAUUUAUUAUUUAUAAUUAAUUAUUAAUAAUUAGAUAAUUAUUAUUAAUUAAUUUAUUACUUAUAAAUAAUUAUUAAUAGUUAUUAAUAAUUAAUUAAUUAAGUAAUAAUUAUUAAUAAUUUAUUAAUAAUUAGUUAAUUUAUUACUUAUAAAUAAUUAUAAAUAAUUAAUAAUAAUUAAUUAAUGAUAAUAAUUAAUAAUUAAUAAUUAAUAAUUAUUAUUAUUUAUAAUUAUUUAUUAAUAAUUUAUUUAUUAUUUAUUUUUAAGUAAUAUUUUGAUGUUAAUUAAUUAGAUAAUAUAAUGUUAAUUUCAAAUUAUAACUUUUAUUCCUCUUGUUCCAAUUUAACCAUCCAAACGCUAUUUACCUUAUUCUUAGAAACAACUCAAUUUUCAUCCAAACGUAAAAUUGGUCUAGCUAGUUCCUGCUUAUACCUGAACUUAUAUCUAUUCCUGGAAUAAGCAGUUCUUACUUAUACUUGAACCAAACGCAGCCUUAGAUAUCAAAAUAAAAAGCUAUAUUUUAAAACUUUUACUACAAUAGGAUGCUGAUGGAGUGUUUUAAGAAAAAGUUUUUAGCACUUACACGUGUUCAACUAAUUAACCCUAGUAACUCUUAACCACACUUUUAUAUGAAGAAUUCUACAAACAUAAACAAAAAAGGGAUUAAAAAAAAAAGAUGAAAAACUUCUUGUCCACAUCAAGGGAUUUUCAUGUACAGGUAUUUCUGGUAUAUUUGGGUAGCUAUAGGCCACAAGGUUUGCUUCCUCUUUGGAAAAACUUACAUUUCAUAGUGGCAAUUCACAUGUUAAUUCUCAAAGUGCAUGGAAUUCCAUGGACUUUCUAGCUCCAAACAAAAGGAAUGGAAAAAUUUAAGUGAAUGAACUAGCAGGUGGAGUAAAACUUAUUAAGCUCUCCGAAUCAUCACCUGGCAUUACUAAAUAUACAUAUACCUAACUCAACUUGGCAAAAUGUACUGGACUUGCACUUUUGUAGCUCUCAAUCACUCUAUUUAUGAGAAAGAUGGUUAGCUUAAGAAGGUGAACAAGGAUUGGGAGAUAACCAUUGGGGUGUGAGAUGAAGGGGAUUAAUUCGAACUUGAGCCAAGUUCAUAUGCGAUCGAUUGGAUCGGGAUUUCUCCUCGGAUGCUUUACUAUAUUGUUGUUCUAUUUCACAACGUAUGAUCGAUAUGUGAGUCUAGGUGCUGGUAAGUGUUCAUCACUCAGUUUGUAUUCUGAUUAAUUGAAGCCUAGUAAGAGGUAUGACACGAGCUACGAGUCUUUUAUUCUUUUGAGGUGAUUAUUAUGUUGAGUUUUCUCGAGUAUAAGCAACUGAAAUACCGUUCUCUAGCUGCUUGAGUUGCUGGAGAAACAACAGCCUUUUCACAUAAAGAGGAGGCUCUGAGAUUGUAUUUUGCGAGACUCUCCUACCCCGAUUUAAUUAAUUUCUCUUAUAUGAUAUUGUGAUUCAAGUGUUGGCCUUAUGGUCAAAAUCCGCCCACAUAUAAGAGAGAGUGUUGAUUAUAAAAGAUAAGAAGCACCGUUCUCUAGCAGCUCAAGUUGUUAGAGAACAAAUUCUGUUGAAUAUUUUGUUUUAGUUAAGCGACUAAUCAUGUAAUUGGCUUGCAGUUGAUUUUGAAGGACCAUCAAUUCACGCGAGUUCUAAUCCUUCGGAAGAGAAGAUAAACUCCGAAAAAUUAGGUAAGCCUGAGUUUUCAGUUUUUUUUUUUUUUUUGAGAAAAAGGUAACACGCUACCCGUUUCAUUCAUUCAGAAUAUGAACUUAGCUACAUGGGUGAGGCAACAAGGCCUCUAAAGAGAUGAAAAGCCGGACAAAGAUGAAAAAAAAAAAAAAAAAUCAGUGUCUUAUACUAUUUCAAGCUUUAGAUACCACUAGAAUAGUACUAGGUCUGUGAUGAAUUGAGAAGUACACUAUUUAAUAAAAAAUGUGCAUGCAAGUGCGUGCAGGGCAAGGCUUGACAAAUGCAGUUGGAGUAGAGCUUUUCGCGAAUCUUUAAUUAAAGCUUGACAAAUGCAGUUAGAGUAGAGCUUUUCGAGAAUCUUUAAUUAAAGUUUCCACUAGUUGGAGACACAGGCGAAAGUUUCAAAUUAGAGUUUCAUCUUUCGAGUUUGGUCGAUAUUUCGGUUUCCUGCUUUAGCCAGAAGCUCUAGAUACUUGCCUUCGAACUUUUGACUUCUGCUUCUCGAUUAGUAUUGGGAAGCUAGACCAAAUAGGCACAAACCAAUGAAAAGAUGCAGUGAUGAGAUUUUUCAGAUUCACGUUAUAUGUUAUCCUCUUUCUCGUCUAUCAUGCUGAGAGUCUGAAUAAGUUGAAGCGUCACUUGAGCGUCAGAAUAAAGAGGAUGGAUCGAAGAAAAUUCAUCAGUAUCUAGCCAACCUACUGUUUGUGUUUUUUUUCAGUACUUUGACCAAUAUAUAUAUANAUAUAUAUAUAUAUAUCUAAUAUAUGUGUAUAUGGGAUCAUGUUGUAGGAGGUGAACAGGUUGAAAAUGUGAAGCCUCAGAAGAAACUAAUCUGCAACUUCGCAGAUCGAAGAUCUGAUGUGUGUGAAAUGGACGGCGAUGUUCGUAUUCAUGGCAAUUUUUCUUCUAUAUACUUUAUUAAUUCCAUCGAGAGCGACACUUCAGUAACAAAUGAGACUUGGCAAGUCAAGCCUUAUACUCGAAAACACGACCGCAACUUAAUGGAAAGAAUUCGAGAACUUACCAUCGCAUCUUCGCAUAGUCCUUUUGAUGCCCCUACAUGCACUGUAAAUCAUAGCAUCCCCGCCGUUGUAUUCGCGACAGAAGGAAUAACCGGAAACUUCUACCAUGCCUUCACUGAUUUAUUGAUUCCUCUCUUCAUAACUUCUCGACAGUUCGACGGUGAAGUUCAAUUCCUUAUAUCACAAAUGCUUAUCCGGUGGGUUCACAAAUACGAAAGGAUUCUUAAGAAGCUCUCGAACUACGAAGUUAUCGAUCUCGACAAAGAAGUUAAAGUUCAUUGUUAUCCUCAUGCAAUUGUAGGCCUACACAGCCACAAGCCUCUAAGCAUCGAGCCCUCGCGAGCUCCGAAUAACUAUUCCAUGGUCGACUUCGCAAAGUUCAUGCGGACGGCCUACGCUCUAGAUCGAGAUUCAUCGAUAAGUCUGCGCGAAAACCCUAGAACCAACAAGCCAAGGCUUUUGAUCAUAGCAAGGAAUCGCACUCGACAGCUAGUAAAUAUUGACGAAGUUGCUCGAAUGGCGGACGGGCUAGGGUUCGAAGUUGUCCUCGAGGAGGGCUCGUCCUUGAGAACGGUGGGGCAGUUUGCGCAGAUCGUGAACUCGUGUGAUGUGAUGAUGGGUGUUCAUGGCGCGGGCCUCACCAACUCUAUCUUCCUUCCUACUAAUGGAGUGCUCAUACAAGUAGUCCCCUUUGGUAUGCUUGAGGCCGCGAGUAUGGUGGACUUUGGGAUACCUGCAGGGGACAUGAAGUUAAAAUACUUGCAAUAUAGCAUAAGUGAAGAGGAGAGCACUCUCAUAGAGCUUUAUCCAAGGGACCACCCUGUGCUUAGAGACCCCAAGUCAUUGCACAAGCAAGGAUGGUCAGUCUUGAGCAAAAUAUACUUGCGUCAGCAAAAUGUGAGGCUUAAUGUCACAAGGUUUAGGCCUGUUUUAGUGGAAGCAAUGGGGCUUCUUAAUUAGUCAAUAGCAAUAAUGCUAUGGUUUGAUGUGUUUAUGGGGUGUGUGCAAGCAAUUUGAUUUAGACAAAGGAGUUUUCUUGGUUUAAUGUGUGAUUUUUAUCAGGUUAUAAAGAUUAAAAAUUAAUAAUUACAUCACUUCUGUAUUAUUCUUUCUUUUUUAAAACAAAUAAAAGCUCAACUCUCUCUCUCUCUCUCUCCUCUAGAGCACAAACUUGUAAAUUUCAUGUAAUACUCCAAGUGAAACAUGAAAACAUGAUGAAGUUGGGAAAGCAUUGAAUCAUGUAAACCUAACAGGGGUUCGAAUUCAAGGAACUACAUAGAAUUUGUGAAGGCCUUAAUGAUUCAUUGCUUUUGUGAGACCUUACUUUUCAGAGGGUCACCCAUCUAAAGACUACUUUAGUCCUAACACGCUUAAUUCUUUUAAUCUUUUGGGCCUAGUACAAUGCAAAAUGCUAUAGCUAGGUUAAGAGGUUUAGUCUUAUAUAUUAUAUAUCAUAUAUAGGACUAUUCCAAAUUUUAGGGUCAUAUUCCUUUCCUCUUUAUGCCUUGAUGUUCUUGUCAGGCUCAAUCAUACUCACAAGGACCAUAAUAUGUAAGACUCAUCUUGCUAGUUUUAGCCGACCUUGUGGGGAGCCGAACUCCAUCCACAAUGGUCGUCAACGGGGGUCCUCGUGCUCUGCCUGUUGUAUAACUCUGGAUCAAUCGAGACGUAUCUCACACUUCCGGCUUAGCCGACUUUGUGGAGGAGCCGCACUCCAUUCACAACGAUCAUCAGCGGGGGAGCAGUGCUCUACCUGCGGUAUGAUCCUGGCUCAACCGAGAUUUAUCUUAUACUUUUGGCUUAGCCGACCUUGUAAGAAUGCGCACUUCAUCCACAACAGUAGUCAGCAGGGGAGCCGUGCUCUGCCCACUGUAUGACCCUAGUUCAACCAAGACUCAUCUCAUACUUUCGGUUGCUGAUUGGCUCUAAUACCAAAUGUAACGACUCAAUCCACUAACAAUAAUAACUCAUUGAGCCCAAACCAUCGGCCCAAAAUAUUUAAACUCAGUUAUUAUAAUUAGAGUUCCUUGUCUCUUAUACUCUCAAACACAAUCGUAUCUCCAUUCGAUGUGGGACUAUUGGAGAGCCACAGACUCCCCCUAGUUUAGACUCUGACGUUUUCGUCAGUCUAAUCACACACAUAUCCCAAGAUCACUAUGGAAAAAUCAAAUUCGUUGUUGUUUUAAUGAACGAAGGCCUCAUUCAGGUCUAGCAUAUGUAUUUUUAAGACUAUUUCUACACCUGUUUCUUAUCGGAUCUAUCUUGUAGGAAUCAUGAAUAUUCCAUGCCAGUCCUAAAAUCUUUCAGUUGCAACCACAUCAGUUAUUUAUGGACUAAACCCUAAUACUUUACCUCUUUGAUUACGUCUCUUGUCAGUGAGUUGAGGCCUUUAUUGGGCAUUGUAAUAGCCCAAUCCACUAUUGAGUUGAGACCUUUGUUGGGCAUACUUUACCUAAUUUCAUUACUUCUCUUGUCAGUGAGUUGAGACCCUUAUUGAGCAUUGUAAUAACCCGACCCGCUAUUGAGUUGAGACCUUUGUUGGGCAUUUUAAAGACCCGAUCUGAUGGUAAUAAUAACUUGUUGGAACCAGGCCAAAAUACUUAAGCCCAUUUAUUAUUACUAGAUUAUAUUCAGUCUGGUUAUCUUGACAUCAGCCCAUCACACAAAUAGCCCAAACGAGGCAUGAGAUAUCUCUGAUACUAAAUGUAACGACUCGACCCACCAACACUAAUAAUUCGUUGGGUCCAAACUAUUGACCUAAAAUACUUAAACCCGACUGGGGUUUAUGGUCCUUUAUAUUUUCAAACACAAUCCCUUUUCUAUCUGAUUCGGGACUAGCUAUUAGGGUGUCGUGGGCAUGCUUCUUAUUAGAUCGAUCUUUUGGUUACCGGAAAUCACCUGUCUCACUCCAUAUCUUGCCAACUCGACUUUUGAAAAUUGACGUAAAAUGGGACCCGAAUCGUCAAAUAAAAAGGCCUGGUCCAUACACACAUCUACAUGUUAGCAUGCUUACAUCUUCUCAUCACUUGGCUCGAGAUCGAGCUCCAUGUAGACUUGGUUUACUCACAUGUUACAUAGCAAGAUGUGUUUGAGUGUUCUAAUAUUUGGCUUGCCCUGGUGCAUUUGAAAAUGAUCCUCUCCUAAAUUUUGUUUACGAAUCUAACUAAUCAUGUUUAAAUAUCAUUCGAGGAACUAUUCUUUUUCUGAAGUAUCGUUGUCACAUCAGCAAACACAUAUUUAUAGCGAGGAUUCGUCAUGUUUAGCAUGUGUGAAUUAGUCACAUAUUCACAAGCCUACAUUUGUCACGGUAAAGGAAAAAAGAAAGAAUACCUCAGAUUCUAAAUAAAUUAGGCUUUGUUCCACUAAUGACUUGUAGCUAGCUAGGCAGAGUCAAUUUGACAAAUAAGCUUUAGGAGGAGGUUAUUUUCAGACACCUUAGUCACCUAAUGAUUCUUUCUUUAUUAACUAUAAAAAAAGGAAAAUUGGCUACUGAAACAUUUCUCCUAAAGGCUAAAUUGAUUUUUUGGUCCUUAAACCAUGAGGGGUGUGACAUUUUGGUCAUUGAAUUUUAAUUUAUUAUAAUUUCUAAAUCAAUCUUUCUAAAAUUGAAAUCAAAUCUCAUAAUAUAAUUUAAUUGACUAAACAGUGUAUAUGCGUUGUUGGUACGGUGAUAAUGUGACAUCUUAGUCAUUUUCACGCCUUCAACCAUAAUACUGCUAUAUCACUGUCACAUUAGUGAAUACUCAGCAUUUAGUCAUCUAAAUUGCACUGUGGGAACCGACCGUCCCGAGAGCUAGUGGCAAAGGGUUUGAUGGUUGGUAUCCGAGACCCAAGUUCGAAUCCUAGUUGAUUCACAUUUCUAGCUAAGUUUUUUUUUUUAAUGAAAUAAACGAAGCGGGUAACGUGCUACCUAUCUCAACAAAAAAAAAAAAAAAUUGCACUGUGAGGCUUGAUUGUAAAAAAAUUUAAAAACUUUGAGCCAGAAUUUGUAAUAAAUUAAAGUCGGAGACCAAAAUAUGAUGCGGCUCAUAGUUUAAGGACCAACCAUGCAAUUUAGCCAUUCCUAAAUUUGUCCUCUAAUUAAUAAAUGAGACCUAGAUCUGGGGCUCAAUUUAAGCAGCUGUUUAAAGCUCAAGCAUUGUUUACUGAGAUUAAAAAUUUUCCAAUAGAUAUUCUGUCAGCUAAUCAAUAAAAUUUCAGAUGAAAGUGAAAGCAAGAUUCUAAUCUCAGAGUCAUUAACCAAGUGAGAUUAAGAAGUUUAUCAACAUUGGCAAGUUAGGCAUUGUUUUGACAACUACUGGUAGAAUUUUUGAACUGUAGACUACCAAUCAAGAUUUAGAGAGAGAGAGAGAGAGAGAGAGAGAGAGAGAGAAAGCAAAUUGGAGAUUACUAACUCUGGUAUUCUCUUGAUAAAGUUUUGUCUGUGUUACGACGAGCGCACGAACAGAAACGAAAAAUGACGAACGUGAAGUAGACAAAGCACAAACAGAAAAUAAAAUAAAUACACAGAUUUACGUGAAAAAUUUUCUACAAGAAAAAAAUUGCUGGCGAGGGAGGAUAGAAUUCACUUGCAAAAAAGGGAAUACAAUCAAUGUUCAGAAGAUUACAAUACGUUUCAUCACGCUUAGGGCAAAAGAGGAGAAGAAAAUUUUUUAACGGGUUCUUCUUGAGGGGUCAGAUCCCGAGCCCUCCACUAUCCGCCAUGGACAUCUAUUUUUCCUUCACAAGUUAUUUUCCCAAAAAAAUCUGUUGCACCGCUAAACUGUGGCCAAAUCUGGGGGCCCAAAAUCAAAGUCGAUAACUAAAUUUCGAGGCAUCUUUAACAGUGUAAGUAGUGUUAUUAGAAGAAGCAUUAUACAGAUUUACCUCCAACAACUUUUUCCUACAACAAAAUCACGGGUCCAUGGAGAAUGCUGCCACUACAACAAAAACGGUCUAUAGCGACACUUUUAAAUGUAGGUACAUGUCAAAAAAGUGCUGCUAGCUAAAAUUACCGACACUUUUAAAAAGCGUUGCUAUAUGUGGGGUCGCUAGGCAUAUAGUGACAGUUAAAGAGUGUCGUUAUAACCUAAAAGAGUGCUGCUAAUUUUUCAACACUUGUUUAAGCAUUUAGCAACCACCGAAACUCUAUCUCGUUGGCUGCGGUGGCGGAUGAGGAUGACAGUAAAGGCUCUUCGUCUAGAAUUUCAGUGGAUUGAGUGAAGAGAGAAGAAAAGAUGGUAAUUGAUUUUUCUUUUUUUUUUUUCUUUUCUGUUUGUAAUCGGGCCAUAUGGACUGGGUGUGGUGGGUUGAGUAGAGUAAUCUUUUAUUUUUGGUUCGAUUGGGCUUUAUAUUUAGGCAUUAGUAGAUGUGUUUUUAAGUUUUAGCAUAAAUGGGACACUUACUUAAAAGUGUCCCAAACAUGUGUCUCUAUAACUUAAUUCUGUUGUAGUGUGCUGUUGAAAUUAGAAGUAGAAGCUGAAGUUGCCAAACAACUAAACAAGCCAAUCAGAAAAUGUACUUCUCAAGUUGACCUACACAAGUUUUCUGCCAAACAAGCCAUCAUGAAUUGCUCUUCUCAAAUUGACCUGAAUCAUUUUUCUUUGAUUGUACUGCCUACCAUCCAUGAAUGUGACAUCCAACCACUUCACCACUGCAUGCCAUUUUAACAUCCCAUGUGUUUUAAACUUCCCAAAAUUGCAAGUUGUACUAAUGAUGCCAACAGGUCAGAUUUUUAAAAAUUCGAACCUGAAUGCGAAUCCGACUAUUAAACCUGAAAUCUAAACCCGAACCCGAAUGCGAUGGAGGAUUUUAAAAGUCCAUAUCCAAAUCCGAACUCGACCAAAAAUCCGAAACCCAAAUACAAACCUGAAAAUCCGAAUCCGAAGCAAUUAUUUCUCUUUACCAUAAUUCAAAAUACAUUACAUUAAAUACAAAUUCAAGUAUAACAUCAAAUAUAUAUAUUAUGUAAAAUCAAUUCGCGUUCGGGUUCGAGUUGGGUACAGAUAAAAUCCACAUCCGAAUCCAAAUUUGUCGAAUUUUAUUUUUUUUAUAUCCGUAUUCGAAACUAUAUUCGUUUAGUAUCAAAUAAAUCAGUUCCGUUCAUGAUAAAAUUUCGAAUAUCCACCAACAAAUACUCUCUCUCUACAAUCACUUCCUACAACUUGCUGCUCCCAAAUUAAAAGCAAUGUGUCCCCCCAGUCCCAUCCCUUGAAUUAAAGCUUUGAAUCACAACAAAAUAUUGUAGGCCCCCAAGCAUAUACAAUGGACUAACUACAAAGAGUGAAUCAAGCAAAUCUAUUUACCACAAUAAUUAAAUGAGAGAACCUUUUGUGAGCUUCACUCCAUUAAGUAUAUUCCCCUCCAAAACUUUUUCAUAAGAUCGAAGAGAGGCAUACACAACAUUCUCAUGAAAAUGGGGCAUGACAUGAAGCAUGUGAGGAGCUGCUGCUGCCGGAUCGAGCUGCAGAAGUUCGGUUUCGGGCUUGUCGCGGGGUGUCUUCUAGUCUCAUUGGCAUAUGUUUCGGAGUUCAACUUCGACGCAGUUUCAUUGUGUAAGUUCAUCAUUUUGUUGCAGUUUCUUGCCCUUCAUUACUCAGUUUUGUCCACCUUAAUAGCUCUGUUCUUAUACUUGUUACUGUAUAUUUUGCAGUGAAUUCAACAUCAUCAUCUUCACUUAGUGUAGCUCCUUCGAGCCAUCGGGUCGAAGAUAUUGUUACUUCUCAACAAGUAGGUAAGAGAAUAAGAUCUUCGAGAAAGAAAGGAGAUUGUAAAAUAAGCUACAAAUAAUGCAGAUCAGGCUCAUCUCUACAAUGUUUUUUGGUUCAUUAUUUAGUUUUCAUGUAUCAGUGAAGAUUACUUAGAUAGUAUCAAACAGUUAGGUGGUCUUUCGCAAUUUUAAACCACUUUUUAAAUUCAAAUCAGCAUCACAGUGCAGAAUAUGGAUUUAUUGGUGAAAUUUUAAGAUCAUUUCUUUGUCCACUAUACAGUAAGAAAGGAUGAAAAGCAAGAAAUUAGCCUGCAAUGUAAACUUUGUGAGAUAGAAAAUGCUGCUGCUGCUGCUGCAAACAAUGGUUCCUACGCAAUUGAUUCGCUUUGGAAAACAACUACUACAUUUGAAGCAAAGCCAACAACAGGUAUACUAGUUCAGUUUCUAAACCUUUAAUAGUGAUUGGUAAAUCUGAGCUAUCAUGAAUCAGAGUGUUGCUUUCAAAAGAGUAAUUGAUAACUCAUGUUCAAUUCUUUUAUUUUGUUUGAAGAUGAAAGAAGCGAGGAUUCAACUCUCGAGAAGAAGCCGAUGAUGUGCGAUUUUUCGAACAGUAGAACAGAUAUAUGCGAGAUCGAAGGCGAUGUAAGAAUCUCGGGGAAAAAUUCAUCCAUUUUCUCAGUUAGUUCACCGGAAACCGACGGUCCGUAUGAAAACGAAACAUGGCGGAUCAAACCGUAUCCGCGCAAGGCGGAUAAACAAGCAAUGAGUAAUGUGAAGGAAUUGACAUUGAAAUCAUUGAGCUCUUUCAAAGAGGCUCCACAAUGCACUGAUCGUUAUGACGUGCCCGCCGUAGUUUUCUCGGUUCACGGUUUCACCGGAAAUUACUUCCAUGCAUUCACCGACGUGUUCGUCCCUCUCUUCGAAACUGCUCAUGGAUUCAACGGGGAGGUCCGGUUCGUUAUCACGGAUUUUAGAGCUCGGUGGAUUCACAGGUUCCUUCCGAUAUUCAAAAGCCUCUCGCGGUACGAUAUGAUCGACCUCGAUAACAACGACGGAGUUCUUUGCUUUCCGCGUGCCAUCGUAGGCUUGAAAAGCCACAACGAGUUGAGCAUCGACGCUUCUCCGUCGCCCAAGGGCUAUUCAAUGGUCGACUUUCUGAGAUUCAUGAGGGGCGCGUAUUCGCUCAAGAGAGAUUCGGUGGCGGCGGUCGGAAUAAGAAGGCCGAGGUUACUGAUCAUCUCGAGGGAGAGAACAAGAAAACUCGUGAAUGUGAAGGAUGUAAUUCGCUUGGCGGAGAAACUGGGCUACCAAGUGGUGGUGCCAAGGGCUCAAAAGGAUCUGGCUCAGUUCUCACGAGUCGUGAACUCGUGCGACGUGAUGAUGGGUGUUCACGGCGCGGGCCUGACGAACAUCGUCUUCCUCCCGACGAACGCGGUUUUGAUCCAGAUAGUCCCUUGGGGGGGACUGGAUUGGGUUGUGAGGACGUGCUUCGGCGAACCAUCAAAGGAAAUGAAGUUGCAGUACCUGGAGUAUAGCAUUAGUGAAGAGGAGAGCACUCUAAUAGAACAGUACCCUCGAGAUCACGCCGUGUUUACGGACCCCGCGUCGAUUCGCAAAAGAGGUUGGGUUCCUAUGAAGGAAGUGUUUUUGGACAAGCAAGAUGUGAAUUUGAAUCUGAGCAGGUUUAAGCCUGUUUUAGAGAAAGCUCUUGAGCUUCUCCAUACAUAGUAUAUAGAUUAUCAUCUUCAUUUAGGUUUGUUUUUUUGUUUAUAAUUCAACGAAAUUUUUUUAUCUGUUUCGAGUGUUCAUCCAUUUGUUUCCUGUAAGGUGGGGGAAAAUGUUUGCGUAAUGUAGAACUUUAAGAACAAAAUUUCUUGAUGAUUACGUGCAUUAAUUACUUACAUAAUAUACACAAAUCAUUUACUUCUACACCUUUUUUCUUUUCCGGACAUACUCAUCAAUUUCUGUACUAAUUGUAUUAAUGAUAUGUACUGAUGGCUUUAAAAGUGGGGAAAACUUCAAAUGUCACUCGGGUGGUUUCACACUUUUUUACUUUAAUAUUCUGUGGUUUAAAAUGUAUCAAUAUAGUGCCACGUGAUUUUAUUUUUAUUUUUUUAUUAUCGAUUUCACUAAUUUUUUUUCGUUAAAUCGGUGAUAAAGUUAAAACAAAAGGGUACUAAAGUGAAUAUUCGAUAAACCUAUGUGGGAUAUCUGAAAUUUUUUGUAUAUAAUUUAACAAAAUAUUAACGAAAAAAGUGGCGAAAAGAUAAAAAUGAAACCACAUAACACUAACUUGGUAUACUUUAAACCACAUAGUACUAAUUUAAACCACAUAGUACUAAAAUAAGAAGGUGCGAAACCACAGGAAUGGCAUUUAAAGUUUAUCAUUAAAAGUAAAAGAUAGUUAUUUUAUUUUAGGAUUAAUUUCAUACAGAUCCCUACAAACAUAACGAAUAUCAAAUAUAUCCUUAUAAAGUUCAACAUUCAUAUGUUGUUUCUACAAAAGUUCUAAUAUUUUCAAAUAUAUCCCUCUGAUUUGUUAUUGUUAAAACAUUGUUUAUUUUAUACGUGAAAUGAUCUUUUUGCCGUCACAAAUAUAUCCCUUUUAAUUAAAGAGGGGUAAAAAAUCAACUCAUUUCAUUAUCUAAUUAGGGUUAAGUAUUUUAUCUCUAUUAACUAAUUUUUUCUAAUGAAUUCUAACGACAUGAAUAUAUUUGAAAAUAUCAUGGCUUUUACAUAUAUGGACGACAAUUCACAAAAAUUUAUCACCAAAUUAUGAUAAUAUAUAAUUGUGCCGAAGUAAUGUUAGCUGUCUUCAUCAUGCAAUUUGAGUCCCACAUUGGAAAGUGACUCUUUUUUUCUUUUUUUCUUUAUUUUUCGAGAAAAAAGUAGCAUACUAUCCUAUUCAUUCAUUUUGGAGGUAAGCUUAGCUACAUGAGUAAGGCAACAAGGCCUCUAGGGCGGCGAAAAGAGCGUUGGUGGGUUGGAAAAAAAAAAAAAAAAAAAAAAAAAAACAUUGCUUUUACAAAUUUGGUAGAAAGAGAUUACUUUUACUAAUUUGACAGAAAGAUAUUUUCACUAUUGUGCUACAAUGAAAAUUUUGAACUAGGGUCAGAAACUUUUAUUAAGAUUGUGCGUGGUUCAACCAGAGCAAUAUAUUUAUUAUGCUAAUUUGGUUUUUAAACUUUCAAAAGUAAUUUAAAUUUGCAAAAUAGCGACAAAAAAUGUUGCAUUAGCGCAAAAAAGAUCAAAGAUGAAUAAUAUUAAAGUUUGAUUAGUACCGAAUUUUUUUUUUUGAGAAAUAGAUAGCACGCUAUCCAAUUUGUUUAUUUCAUUUAGAAAUAAAUUUAGUUGGAAAUAUGAAUCAACUAGGAUUCGAACUUGGGUCUCGAAUAUCAGCCACCAAGUUUUUUGCCAGUUGCUCUAGGAACGGUCGGUUCGAUGUUUUUUAAAAUUCGAACCAGAAUAGUUUCAUAUUUUUAGCUAAAUUUAUUUUUGAAAAAAACGAAAGUUGUAUACUAAUUUUCUCUCUUAAGAAAAUAUUAGUAGGAAGUUCAUAAUUUUUUUUAAAAUAAAAAUAUAGUUUGGUAUGUUACAAAGCUUGAGCCCGCCCUUACAAUGAAUGAUGUAAUAGUGAGUGAAGUUGUCCUACUCGUAGGGGCAUAUGUUCAUGGACAAGGACAAAUCAUAGGGGCAUAUGUUAUAGACAAGGACAAAUACUAGUGGUAAAUAGGGAUGUCAACGGGUCGGAUUCAGAACAGAUUUUUAAAAAUCCGAAUUCGACUCCAAACCGAGAUCGGAACUCGAAUCCGAAUCCAAAUCUGACGAAUUUUAAAAAUUCAUAUCUAAAUCCGAACCCGACCAAAAAUUCGAAACCCGAAUCGAAAAAUUUGAACCCGAAAUAAUAAUUUUUUUUUCAAUAUUUCAAAAUAUAUUACAUUAAAUCUAAAUUUCUAAAAUAAAAAUUUAAAUAUAACAUCAAAUUUAUAUAUAUAUAUAUAUAUAAUGCAAAAUAAAUUCUGGUUCGGAUCGGGUUUCGGUCGGGUUCGGAUACAGUCAAAAUCUAUAUUCAAAUCCAUGUCCGUCGGAUUUUUAUUUUUGAUAUCCAUAUCUAAUAUAUAUCCAUUUAGCACCGGAUAUAUCCGCUCCAUUCGGAUUCGGAUUCGAAUUCGAAUAAAAUUUUACGUAUCCGUACCCAUUGACAUCCCUAUUUAUUUUGUUCCGUUGGUGUAGCAUUUUAUUCCGUAUAACACUUAGCUCUCAUACUCUGAAAGGUAUUCGACUCUUAUAACAAUUGUAACGAUUCGACCCGCGAGCAAGGUAUUCGACUUUUAUAACAAUUGUAACGAUUCGACUCGCAAGCAAUAAUAACUUAUUGGGACGUCUGAAAAUAUUUAAGCACGAUUAUUAUUACUAGCGUAGAGGCUUUAUAUAUUUUAAUUAGAAUCAUUUUCCUAUCCGAUGUGGAAUACUUGGGGCGUUACACAUGAAGACCCUGUUAACUAGCUAAAAACCAUUUUAAAAUAAGUCCCUCAACUUUAUUAUUAUUUUUUUUUAAUUCUUGCCGACACUUUUUUAACUUUUAUUGGGUUUUUUUAUUUAAAUUAUUCUUAUUAGUUGAGUUAACAAUUUUGUUAACUGGAAUAAAUUCGUCUACUAUAUUAAUCAAUCAACACAUAAAAAUCCAUCUUUAUUUGGUUUGGGGAUAAGCAAGAACUGUCUAUUCCAGGAAUAGGUACAAAUUUAGGUAUAAACUUGAAAUAGUUCAAUUUUGCGUUUGGAUGAAAAUUGAAUUAUUUCUGCGAAUAAAAAAAAUAUCGUUUGGAUAGAUAAGCUGAAAUAAAAAGGAUAAUAGUAGUUAUAAAUAAAAAAUAAUGAUAUUGUCUUUUAUAUUUGAAUUUAAAUUUUUAAAUUUUAAAUAUAUAACUUUAAAAAUUAAAAAAUUUAAAAUAAAAUUUUAAAUUCUAAAUUUCAAAUUUAAAAAUUUAAAGUUCUAAAUUUAAAAUUUAAAAGUAAAUUUAAAUUUAAAAAUAUCAACUAUCAAAUUUUAAAUUUAAAAAAUUAUAAAUAAUAAUUUAAAAUUUAAAAUUUAGAAUUUAAAAUUAUAAAUGUUAAUUUUAAGAUUACAAAUUAUUAAAUUUUUAAAAUUUAAAAUUUAAAAUUUAAAUUAUAAAUUUAAAUUUAAAAAUUAAAUUUGGAUGAGAUUAGCGAAUCCCACCCCAAUUCCA
Molecule: long non-coding RNA, 15285 nt
Filed under: Ananas comosus (pineapple)
Lineage: Eukaryota; Viridiplantae; Streptophyta; Magnoliopsida; Poales; Bromeliaceae
Description: long non-coding RNA (ACOM_LNC017126)
Source: RNAcentral